Molecule: long non-coding RNA, 784 nt
Organism: Heteronotia binoei (common prickly gecko)
Lineage: Eukaryota; Metazoa; Chordata; Lepidosauria; Squamata; Gekkonidae
Exons: 3
Source: RefSeq, a predicted model, not a curated record
UCCGCUGUUAAAACACAAGGAGCAGCCUGGAGAAUUUUGAGCUGCGUCACACAGCUCUGAGGGAGAGAGAGAGAGAGAGAGCAAGCUCUGUCGAUAGGUCUAGUAGCAACAGCCCUGCUGCAGUGAGAGAGAGACAGAGACAGACAGAUCAUGAGAGAAGUAAUAACAACAUUGUGAGCAUGAUUUUUUUCAGCCAUCUAGCAUCUUUUAAAAAAAGAAAUAUUAUUUGGGGACUAAUUUCAUACCGGCGGUUUUGUUCGUUGACGAUAUGGGAAAGAUGCAACGCAGUUAAUCCCGCAAUUGGGGGGGGGGGGGGGCAGGCAUAGGAAGGGUUAAUAGGAGGAAAAUUCUGGAAUGUUCUAUCCUGCGACGAAGUGAACAGAGGGCUGAGGACUGCACAGGUGUAGACAAACUGAUCUCACGGUUCCUCUUUUUCUUUACUGUGAAACCUUGCUCUGCAGAGCUGACUCCUCCGGAGGCAGUCUUGCAUCCUGCAGUGCUUGUUCCGCAGAGGAGGCAACAGGAGACCCAACUGUGAUGGCCGCUCUGAUGAAGGGUUGGAUUCACUGCUGAGAUUACGUUUGUUGCUGGCAGGAGCAGGGAGAAUUUAAUGCAGAUGGUGGGCAUGAUAAGAUUGGUCUCCCAGGAAAGCUGAGAACAGCCUUCCUUUAAUAAGGAGAACCAGAGAGUCUUUACUGAGGCCGAAAUUCUCCCUCAUAACCAUGGAAUUGUUUCACUGCACUAAGACUGCACCAUUUGAUGAAGUAGGUUGAGGCCACAAAAU